AGUUUGAUCCUGGCUCAGGAUGAACGCUGGCGGCGUGCCUAAUACAUGCAAGUCGAGCGAAUGGAUUGAGAGCUUGCUCUCAAGAAGUUAGCGGCGGACGGGUGAGUAACACGUGGGUAACCUGCCCAUAAGACUGGGAUAACCCCGGGAAACCGGGGCUAAUACCGGAUAAUAUUUUGAACUGCAUGGUUCGAAAUUGAAAGGCGGCUUCGGCUGUCACUUAUGGAUGGACCCGCGUCGCAUUAGCUAGUUGGUGAGGUAACGGCUCACCAAGGCAACGAUGCGUAGCCGACCUGAGAGGGUGAUCGGCCACACUGGGACUGAGACACGGCCCAGACUCCUACGGGAGGCAGCAGUAGGGAAUCUUCCGCAAUGGACGAAAGUCUGACGGAGCAACGCCGCGUGAGUGAUGAAGGCUUUCGGGUCGUAAAACUCUGUUGUUAGGGAAGAACAAGUGCUAGUUGAAUAAGCUGGCACCUUGACGGUACCUAACCAGAAAGCCACGGCUAACUACGUG
This 517-nucleotide ribosomal RNA is filed under the name uncultured bacterium. Its description in RNAcentral is "bacterial SSU rRNA". It matches the Rfam family "Bacterial small subunit ribosomal RNA", at positions 10 to 507 of the family's 1533-position model. The record is from RNAcentral.